Molecule: long non-coding RNA, 687 nt
Organism: Drosophila navojoa
Lineage: Eukaryota; Metazoa; Arthropoda; Insecta; Diptera; Drosophilidae
Source: RefSeq, a predicted model, not a curated record
AGAGACGAAAGCCUGACUGCUACUAAAUAGUAAUGGCAGAAAAGUCAAGAAACUCAACAUUUGUCUCUUCUUCUUGUUGUUGUUGCUAUUUUCUGUUCCUGUUGGCCCAUUCGUUGCUUUAGUUAUUUUUUUCAGUGUGCUAAAGUCGUAGUCCAAGUCUCAGCCAAAGUGCCCAACGGACAACUAUUAAAGAAAAACAACAACAACAACAACAACAACAAAGAAACGAUGAAAAACAAAUACACGCUACUUACACUUACUAGCCAUACAUAACUACAAUACAUAUGCAUCUCUCCAUAUCUCUCGCUCUAUCUUUCUCUCUCGCUCUCAGUCUCUCUCUCCCGCUCUGCCUUGCUUACUCGCUGUGUAGCGCACGUACAUUUAAUACUUAACUCAACCUCUUGUGUCGUCGCCAUCGUCGUAGUUGCUAUUGUACAGUUCCACAGAAAAUUUAUACAACGCACGGACGGUGAGCGGCUGCGAAGACACAAAGGAUGGGUGGGGGAGGAGAGGGGGCGAAAAGCAAUGCUAUACCUUUUCGAUCUUUUCGACAUAUGCGUGGUAAUUUACAAACUCACGACAAUGAGCACACAAUCUGUAUGAUAAUUCACAUCUACUUGCUAUAACAAUGGAUCCGGAAGAGCAGCUAAACAGCUAUGCAUGUAUAUAUCUACAUAUCUAUAUACA